GCCAUACUAGAUUUAUGGACAUGCUACUACAGUCAGACACUUCAUCCACGAUGCCCACUCAUCUAGUUAGCCCCUUGCACUCCUCAGUGAUACGUACAGCUAGAGAGAGAUAUGCAAGCACGAGUGAUGUUGUUGAUAUGAUCAUGGGAUAGGAUCAGACUAUACAACCUACUCCAGGUGAUACACAGUUAGCUCAUGUCACUCCUUCCUUGAGCUCUGAGCAUGUGCGUAGGAGAGAUUCUUUAGAUGCUGUUAGUGUACAGGACUCCCCCUCAGAUGGUCGCUCAGUUCGUAGCCGACAUGAUCCCUGUUGAUUUGCUCCAGACUUUAUAGCUCAUUUACAUUUAUCUUUUUAUAUACUUUCAUAUUAUAUAUAUUCAUGCACGUACAUGGAGUUUAGACUCUAGAUUAUACUUUAUACCUGGUUUGUGUUUGACUCUAGAUUAUACUUUAUACUUUAUACAUGGAGUUUAGACUCUAGAUUAUACUUUAUACCUGGUUUGUGUUUGA
Molecule: long non-coding RNA, 510 nt
Organism: Cryptomeria japonica (Japanese cedar)
Lineage: Eukaryota; Viridiplantae; Streptophyta; Pinopsida; Cupressales; Cupressaceae
Exons: 3
Source: RefSeq, a predicted model, not a curated record